RNAcentral lists this ribosomal RNA (400 nucleotides) under uncultured bacterium. RNAcentral's name for it is "bacterial SSU rRNA". It matches the Rfam family "Bacterial small subunit ribosomal RNA", at positions 355 to 748 of the family's 1533-position model. The record is from RNAcentral.
UAGGGAAUAUUCGACAAUGGACGAAAGUCUGAUCGAGCAACGCCGCGUGAAGGAUGAAGGUUUUCGGACUGUAAACUUCUUUUAUGUGGGAAGAACAUCCAGGGUAGGAAAUGCCCCUGGACUGACGGUACCACUUGAAUAAGGGACGGCUAACUAUGUGCCAGCAGCCGCGGUAAUACAUAGGUCCCAAGCGUUAUCCGGAUUUACUGGGCGUAAAGCGUGUGUAGUCGGUUUCUUAAGUCUGACGUUCAAUGACAGGGCUCAACCCUGUCCUGCGUUGGAAACUGGGAGACUAGAGUUACGGAGGGGCUGAUGGAAUUCCUAGUGUAUCGGUGGAAUGAGUAGAUAUUAGGAGGAACACCAGUGGCGAAGGCGAUCAGCUGGACGAUAACUGACGAUG